CUCUUGACCACUGUGUCGUAGAGUUAGGUAACUCUCCUAUCCUACAUUCAGGAGUGUUCUCCUCUUGACCACUGUGUCGUAGAGUUAGGUAACUCUCUCCUAUCCUACAUUCAGGAGUGUUUUCCUCUUGACCACUGUGUCGUAGAGUUAGGUAACUCUCCUAUCCUACAUUCAGGAGUGUUCUCCUCUCUGACCACUGUGUCGUAGAGUUAGGUAACUCUCUCCUAUCCUACAUUCAGGAGUGUUUUCCUCUCUGACCACUGUGUCGUAGAGUUAGGUAACUCUCUCCUAUCCUACAUUCAGGAGUGUUUUCCUCUUGACCACUGUGUCGUAGAGUUAGGUAACUCUCUCCUAUCCUACAUUCAGGAGUGUUUUCCUCU
Molecule: long non-coding RNA, 380 nt
Organism: Salvelinus fontinalis (brook trout)
Lineage: Eukaryota; Metazoa; Chordata; Actinopteri; Salmoniformes; Salmonidae
Exons: 3
Source: RefSeq, a predicted model, not a curated record